Molecule: ribosomal RNA, 470 nt
Filed under: uncultured bacterium
Lineage: Bacteria
Description: bacterial SSU rRNA
Rfam family: Bacterial small subunit ribosomal RNA
Source: RNAcentral
GAUGAACGCUAGCUACAGGCUUAACACAUGCAAGUCGAGGGGCAGCAUGAACUUAGCUUGCUAAGUUUGAUGGCGACCGGCGCACGGGUGAGUAACACGUAUCCAACCUUCCGUUUACUCAGGGAUAGCCUUUCGAAAGAAAGAUUAAUACCUGAUAGUAUGGUGAGAUUGCAUGAUAACACCAUUAAAGAUUUAUUGGUAAACGAUGGGGAUGCGUUCCAUUAGGUAGUAGGCGGGGUAACGGCCCACCUAGCCUGCGAUGGAUAGGGGUUCUGAGAGGAAGGUCCCCCACAUUGGAACUGAGACACGGUCCAAACUCCUACGGGAGGCAGCAGUGGGGAAUAUUGCACAAUGGGCGCAAGCCUGAUGCAGCGACGCCGCGUGAAGGAUGAAGUAUUUCGGUAUGUAAACUUCUAUCAGCAGGGAAGAAAAUGACGGUACCUGACUAAGAAGCCCCGGCUAACUACGUG